RNAcentral lists this ribosomal RNA (426 nucleotides) under uncultured prokaryote. RNAcentral's name for it is "bacterial SSU rRNA". It matches the Rfam family "Bacterial small subunit ribosomal RNA", at positions 355 to 796 of the family's 1533-position model. The record is from RNAcentral.
UGUGGAAUUUUCCGCAAUGGGCGAAAGCCUGACGGAGCAAUACCGCGUGAGGGAGGAAGGCUUUUGGGUUGUAAACCUCUUUUCUUAGGGAAGAAGUUCUGACGGUACCUCAGGAAUCAGCAUCGGCUAACACCGUGCCAGCAGCCGCGGUAAUACGGAGGAUGCAAGCGUUAUCCGGAAUUAUUGGGCGUAAAGCGUCCGCAGGUGGCUCUUCAAGUCUGCUGUCAAAGACCAGAGCUCAACUCUGGGCAGGCGGUGGAAACUGGGGAGCUAGAGUACGGUAGGGGUAGAGGGAAUUCCCAGUGUAGCGGUGAAAUGCGUAGAGAUUGGGAAGAACACCAGUGGCGAAGGCGCUCUACUGGACCGAAACUGACACUCAGGGACGAAAGCUAGGGGAGCGAAUGGGAUUAGAUACCCCCGUAGUCA